CAAGGGAAUAAAGUUGUAGCUCCAUUAUUGUUGGAUGAGGAAAUAGCAGCAGCUGGAUAUAUCCUUUGAAGAAUGCUUGCUACUCUUUUUUGCUCUCCAAUAUGUCAAGCAUGAGUCUUCUUUCCGUCUAGGGGCAAUCUUGGAAAGAUGGACAAUAUAUGUAUAGAGGGACGUUGCAAGUUGAAAUAUGAGGUGAUUCAAAGUUUAUUUAAAUUUUAAAGAAAGCUUUAUUUGUCAAUGAGAUAUGGUUUACAAAUGUUAAUUUUCAUUCUCGUUUAUACAAACGUAUAGUAAGUAAAUUAUCAUGUCCCCUCCUAUAUGUUUUCACUUAUUGAUGGUGAUAUAUGUGAAGGAACUACGCUAUGUUAUUAUUUUGCAGAGAUGGAUCCAGAAUUUAAAUUA
Nicotiana tabacum (common tobacco) is the source of this 402-nucleotide non-coding RNA. The record is from RefSeq and is a predicted model, not a curated record. NCBI's taxonomy places the organism in Eukaryota, Viridiplantae, Streptophyta, Magnoliopsida, Solanales, Solanaceae.